UUUAACGGAGAGUUUGAUCCUGGCUCAGGAUUAACGCUGGCGGCGUGCCUGACACAUGCAAGUCGAACGGGUGCUAAUUGCCCGCAAGGGUGGCUAGCGCUAGUGGCGGACGGGUGAGUAACACGUGGGCAACCUGCCUGAGAGUGCAGAAUAACCCUGCGAAAGCAGAGCUAAUACUGCAUGUGGUUGUCGGAUGGCAUCAUCUGACAACUAAAGUCGCAAGACGCUC
Molecule: ribosomal RNA, 229 nt
Filed under: Chloroflexota bacterium
Lineage: Bacteria; Bacillati; Chloroflexota
Description: Chloroflexi bacterium partial 16S ribosomal RNA
Rfam family: Bacterial small subunit ribosomal RNA
Source: RNAcentral